UACGUAGGUGGCUAGCGUUGUCCGGAUUUACUGGGCGUAAAGAGCGCGCAGGCGGUCGUUCAAGUCGAGUGUGAAAGCCCCCGGCUCAACUGGGGAGGGUCACUCGAUACUGAUCGACUCGAAGGCAGGAGAGGGAAGCGGAAUUCCCGGUGUAGUGGUGAAAUGCGUAGAGAUCCGGAGGAACACCAGCGGCGAAGGCGGCAUCCUGGACUGGUCCUGACACUCAGGAGCGAAAGCGUGGGGAGCGAUCCGG
This 253-nucleotide ribosomal RNA is filed under the name uncultured bacterium. Its description in RNAcentral is "partial 16S ribosomal RNA". It matches the Rfam family "Bacterial small subunit ribosomal RNA", at positions 524 to 776 of the family's 1533-position model. The record is from RNAcentral.